RNAcentral lists this long non-coding RNA (263 nucleotides) under Ananas comosus (pineapple). RNAcentral's name for it is "long non-coding RNA (ACOM_LNC014341)". Lineage: Eukaryota; Viridiplantae; Streptophyta; Magnoliopsida; Poales; Bromeliaceae. The record is from RNAcentral.
AUCGAAAAUUGAAAAGGCAGUUAAUUUUAACAAAAUUUUAAUACAUUUAAAUAAAAUAUUUUUUUUGAGAGAAAAAUAGCAUGUAAUCCACUUCGUUUAUUUCAUUUAGAAAUAAAUUUAACUGAAAAUAUGAAUCAACUAGAUUUCGAAUUUAAAUUUCGGAUAUCAACCAUCAACUUUUUUUGCCUUAAAAUAUUGUAAAUCAAAAUAAUUGAAAGCAAAGGAUGUUGAUCCAAGUAAAUUAAAGCCAAAAAAAAGAAAAG